GUAAAACCCAAUAUCGUUCUUCCCAAGAGACUCAAAGGUCUUAUCGUUCGUGCAAAUUGAAAUCGUAAGACUUGUAAAGAAAAUUAGUUGGUGGGAAUGCAAAGACACAAAAUAAACAUGCAAAUGCGGUUGAUUCAAUUGAAAAGAAAAAGACUAUGGAUGAAUGGAGUUGUUGGGGGUUUACAUUUUCAUCUUAUCCACUCUCUCUUAUCUAUUCCUCUUAUUUAAUUUGCUUUGUUAUCUAAUUGUCAUGCAAACUUUCUUAGUCUACCCUUAACCCGAUCCCUCGGCGAAAAGAGCCUAUUACUAAUUACUCGCUUGUUAUCCCUAGCCUCCCCUAGUAAUUAAUAACGCGUUAAGAACAGAAGCAAAAACAAUUGAUCGUCCUACCCCCUAUCCCUAGGUG
This 406-nucleotide long non-coding RNA is filed under the name Vigna radiata. Its description in RNAcentral is "long non-coding RNA (VRAD_LNC018072)". Lineage: Eukaryota; Viridiplantae; Streptophyta; Magnoliopsida; Fabales; Fabaceae. The record is from RNAcentral.